GCCAUCCACAGGAUCCAUUUAUUUCUUUCC
Molecule: non-coding RNA, 30 nt
Filed under: Mus musculus (house mouse)
Lineage: Eukaryota; Metazoa; Chordata; Mammalia; Rodentia; Muridae
Source: RNAcentral